AGGAAACAAAUCAGCAUCCGGAUAAAGGUAAUAUAGCCUCCUUGCAGCUUUACCAAUUUCCAGUGGCCUCUUCAGAGAAGGGCCCUGUAAAAGACAAAUUGCUUUGGUAAAUAAUGUUGAACAAUCUAACUGAGAGAUGAGUUGGUGGACAAAAAUCAAAUUAAAUUGGAAAGAUGGAACCAGGAGGACAUGAAAUAAAAUUAUAUCAUGUCUGAGAUGUAGAGAUCCAGUUGAAACAACAUUAGCUUUAUAUCCAUUUGGAAGAGUGACAAGGAAGGGCUUAGGUAAAGGUUUUACAUCAAAGAGUAAGUGUUUAUGUGGGGUCAUGUGAUUAGUUGCACCUGUAUCUAAUAUCCAAGGAUUUACUUUUAACUGUGAUGAAGUACAUGCAUGAGAUUCCACAGAAUUUAGUGCAUAACUACUAAACAAACGUGCAAAAUGUGAAAAGGCAUUGUUGUUCAUAGUAGAAUCAUCAAGAGUAGCCCCAGAAGAUAAUUGUACUUGCUGAAAUAGAGCUAGGAGAUGUUGGUACUGCUCUUUAGUAAAACCAUGAGCUGAAGACUCAGGAAAUUGUAUAGUUGGAGCAGCAUUUAAAUGUGUAGGAUGAAUGAAAGAAUGUUCAGUUUGAACACAUGAAGCAGACUUCUUAUUCUUUGUGAACUUGAAAUCGGGAGAAAAUCCAUGGAGUUUGUAGCACUUCUCCACAGUGUGCCCAGGUUUCUUACAAUAUUUGCAAGAAACAUUUGAAUUAGACCUUAUGGACUCAAAAUUUUCCCUUUGACUGAAACCUCUGUUCCCAUUUUCUAGACUGUUAGACACUAGGAAUAAGGUUGAAUCACCAGAGAGAUUUGGGACAUGAGAAUGAGCUUCCCUUUGACGCUCAUCAUGUUGCUGAAGGGAAUAAGCCUUGCUUAUUGGAGGAAGAGGAUUCAUCAUCAUGAUAUUACUCUUGACAUUUAAAUAGGAUUCAUUUAGACCAUUUAAGAAUUGAAACAGUUGUUGAUCUUCUAUAAAAUUGGGCAGGGUACCACAAGAGCAUACAGGGCCUACAUAUGAGGAAUGUAGCUCAUCCCAGAGGCUUCUUAUUUUGGUGAAAUAAGAUGCUAUGUCAGAAGACCCAUGAGUGGUAGAAUGAAUUUCCCUUUGUAGUUGAAUAUACUUAGAUCCAUUUGACUGCCCAAAUCUAUCGUCUAUAUCUUUACAGACUUUUUUAGCAGUCUUAAAGCACAUCACUCUAGAAGCAAUCUCUCUAGAUACUCAUUUAGUUAUCCAAGCCUUGACCAUAUCAUUACAUCUUUCUCAAUACGCAUAGUAGGGUGAAUAUGAUGUGGGAUGAAAGACUCUUCCAUUUACUAAACCUAGUUUAUUCUUUGCAGAAAGAGAAGUCACCAUACUACUUCUGCAAAGUACAAACCCAGAGCCAUUGAAUGUCACAGAGACUAAUUGACUGCAAGGAUUAUCAGACGGGUGAAUGUAGAGAGGAUGUGAUGGAUCCAACGAAAAAGGGAAUAAAACCAUUAGAAUUCCGAGGUAUAUCAUUUUCAUUCAAUGUACUACCCAUUUUAUAUCCAAUUGUCCCAGAUUCAUAGUAUUAAAAACAGAGAAAAUUUGAUUGAUAACAAACAGAUGCAAAGCAGAUUUGUAAUCAACAGAGAAUCAAGUAAAACAGAUCCAGACAGGUGAGAAUGUACCAGUCUCGACUAACUUCAAACCCUAGGAAUGACAGUAGUUCCAUGAAAACCAAAUUUUAGGAAAAUCUAGCUCAAUCAAUAGACGACGUUGAAGAAUUCCAAGUUUCCCUGACAAAAGGCAACAACGUUUCUUCGAAAUCACCUCUGACUUUAACCAAAGAUAUGAAACGGGAAAAAUUUCUGGCAAUGGUACAAUCGGAAGAAAGCUCAUGAAGAGAGGAAUCUAAAUUCCUGCUAUAAUACCAUGUUAGCUUGACACAAGAGCAGAUAUGGCAGAAACAACAAGAAAAGAAACCCUAACACUGAGAAGAAGAAGAAGAGAGAACAGAAGGUUCGAGAGCAAAUGAGUCGGUCAGUC
This 2049-nucleotide long non-coding RNA is filed under the name Nicotiana benthamiana. Its description in RNAcentral is "long non-coding RNA (NBEN_LNC011127)". Lineage: Eukaryota; Viridiplantae; Streptophyta; Magnoliopsida; Solanales; Solanaceae. The record is from RNAcentral.